GAUGAAGAACGUAGCGAAAUGCGAUAAGUAAUGUGAAUUGCAGAAUUCAGUGAAUCAUCGAAUCUUUGAACGCACCUUGCACCCUUUGGCAUUCCGAAGGGUAUGCUCGUUUGAGUGUCAUUGUACUCUCACGCUCCCGAUCUUUGGAUCGGGAGUGGUGGACUUGGGUGUUGCUGCUUUACCGUGGCUCACCUCAAAUGGAUUCGUGCAACUCCUGGUUGGACAUAGUACGGCGUGAUAAGUGUCUUCGCCGGCACCUCACUAGAGGGUGGCUGACCGGGAGCUCUGUGCUUCAAACCGUCUUCGGACAACAACUGACAACUUGACCUCAAAUCGAGUAGGACCACCCGCUGAACUUAAGCAUAUCAAUAAGCGGAGGA
RNAcentral lists this unclassified non-coding RNA (380 nucleotides) under soil metagenome. RNAcentral's name for it is "partial contains 5.8S ribosomal RNA, internal transcribed spacer 2, and large subunit ribosomal RNA". The stretch from base 1 to 120 matches the Rfam family "5.8S ribosomal RNA", at positions 35 to 154 of the family's 154-position model. The record is from RNAcentral.